RNAcentral lists this ribosomal RNA (167 nucleotides) under Sueviota sp. MOOP_2911. RNAcentral describes it as "partial small subunit ribosomal RNA". The record is from RNAcentral. Lineage: Eukaryota; Metazoa; Chordata; Actinopteri; Gobiiformes; Gobiidae.
CACCGCGGUUAUACGAGAGGCCCAAGUUGAUAGAGCUCGGCGUAAAGGGUGGUUAAUAGACCUAACACUAAAGCCAAACACCUUCAAGGCUGUUAUACGCAUCCGAAGGCAGGAAGCCUAAACACGAAAGUAGCUUUAAUCGCUAUGACACCACGAAAGCUAGGGUA